RNAcentral lists this ribosomal RNA (1171 nucleotides) under uncultured Pseudoalteromonas sp. RNAcentral describes it as "bacterial SSU rRNA". It matches the Rfam family "Bacterial small subunit ribosomal RNA", at positions 53 to 1229 of the family's 1533-position model. The record is from RNAcentral. Lineage: Bacteria; Pseudomonadati; Pseudomonadota; Gammaproteobacteria; Alteromonadales; Pseudoalteromonadaceae.
ACAUGCAAGUCGAGCGGUAACAGAAAGUAGCUUGCUACUUUGCUGACGAGCGGCGGACGGGUGAGUAAUGCUUGGGAACAUGCCUUGAGGUGGGGGACAACAGUUGGAAACGACUGCUAAUACCGCAUAAUGUCUACGGACCAAAGGGGGCUUCGGCUCUCGCCUUUAGAUUGGCCCAAGUGGGAUUAGCUAGUUGGUGAGGUAAUGGCUCACCAAGGCAACGAUCCCUAGCUGGUUUGAGAGGAUGAUCAGCCACACUGGAACUGAGACACGGUCCAGACUCCUACGGGAGGCAGCAGUGGGGAAUAUUGCACAAUGGGCGAAAGCCUGAUGCAGCCAUGCCGCGUGUGUGAAGAAGGCCUUCGGGUUGUAAAGCACUUUCAGUCAGGAGGAAAGGGUGUGAGUUAAUACCUCACGUCUGUGACGUUACUGACAGAAGAAGCACCGGCUAACUCCGUGCCAGCAGCCGCGGUAAUACGGAGGGUGCGAGCGUUAAUCGGAAUUACUGGGCGUAAAGCGUACGCAGGCGGUUUGUUAAGCGAGAUGUGAAAGCCCCGGGCUCAACCUGGGAACUGCAUUUCGAACUGGCAAACUAGAGUGUGAUAGAGGGUGGUAGAAUUUCAGGUGUAGCGGUGAAAUGCGUAGAGAUCUGAAGGAAUACCGAUGGCGAAGGCAGCCACCUGGGUCAACACUGACGCUCAUGUACGAAAGCGUGGGGAGCAAACGGGAUUAGAUACCCCGGUAGUCCACGCCGUAAACGAUGUCUACUAGAAGCUCGGAACCUCGGUUCUGUUUUUCAAAGCCAACGCAUUAAGUAGACCGCCUGGGGAGUACGGCCGCAAGGUUAAAACUCAAAUGAAUUGACGGGGGCCCGCACAAGCGGUGAGCAUGUGUUUAAUUCGAUGCAACGCGAAGAACCUUACCUACACUUGACAUACAGAGAACUUUCUAGAGAUAGAUUGUGCCUUCGGGAACUCUGAUACAGGUGCUGCAUGCUGUCGUCAGCUCGUGUUGUGAGAUGUUGGUUAGUCCCGCAACGAGCGCAACCCCUAUUCUUAGUUGCUAGCAGGUAAUGCUGAAAACUCUAAGGAGACUGCCGUGAUAAUCCGAAGAAGUGGACGACGUCAAGUCAUCAUGGGCCUCAUCAGUGUAGAGGUAUACACGUGCUAUC